Molecule: ribosomal RNA, 253 nt
Filed under: uncultured bacterium
Lineage: Bacteria
Description: partial 16S ribosomal RNA
Rfam family: Bacterial small subunit ribosomal RNA
Source: RNAcentral
UACGUAGGUGACCAGCGUUGUCCGGAUUUACUGGGCGUAAAGAGCGCGCAGGCGGUCGUUCAAGUCGAGUGUGAAAGCCCCCGGCUCAACUGGGGAGGGUCACUCGAUACUGAUCGACUUGAAGGCAGGAGAGGGAAGCGGAAUUCCCGGUGUAGUGGUGAAAUGCGUAGAUAUCGGGAGGAACACCAGUGGCGAAGGCGGCUUCCUGGCCCGGUACUGACGCUGAGGUGCGAAAGCGUGGGGAGCAAACAGG